CGGCUCGGUCACCUACUCUGGAGGGAAAUGUUUUUCACACAUUGAGUUUAGAAAUCGCCUGAUGAAGGUACUCCUUGUAUCCGAAACGUCGCGAAUUAGUUUCUUUAAAAUAAAGAAACCUAUCUCUAUUGACCAUCUCGCCUUUUUUCUGAGUUUUUGAACAUCAUGCUAGCUUAGCAUAACUAGCCUACUACCAUGAGCGGCCAUCGAGGGUAACACUCCUGGCCGACGAUCCAGCAUGGAAGGUUCCGUACGGGUUACCGGAACCCUACCCUCCCACCGAUGAGCCAACGUGAUGUCCACCUGCCGCAGUCCCAACCCCACCGCAUGGAACGCAACUGCCCGACGGCGACGGGGAGCUACCGCCGCGGCCGGCUAGCACGUGGUGAUGGACGCCACCACGGCCUCUGGUACCGGAGCUCCGCCCGGACCUCCAGCUGCGUUCGGGCCUGGCGCGGCCGGUCGAUCAUCAGAUGCGGGCGGCCAUCUGAUGUACACGGCCCUUCCCUUGCCUCCACACACCCUACGCAAGUCAACAGAGUACCCGAUUUGCGGGAAGUUCAUGAACCACCUGAGGCCACACCUGACGGGAUAUCACCAAGUGAGGAACGUGGAGGAGACAAUUCUGCUUGUCAGCUGGUCCAGUGGACGGGUUACAGGUAAACUGAACUGCCGUGUUUGUGACAAGGUGGGCCUGUCCCGCCUGGACAGACACCUGGCGGACCUCCACCAACUUCCUCCAAAUGUGAGUUCACUUAAAAAAAAAAACAUGCUACCUUUAUUGAUCCACAUAGGAAAUAUCCAUGACGCAGCAGA
Molecule: long non-coding RNA, 816 nt
Filed under: Gadus morhua (Atlantic cod)
Lineage: Eukaryota; Metazoa; Chordata; Actinopteri; Gadiformes; Gadidae
Description: lncRNA (ENSGMOG00000034728.1)
Source: RNAcentral